Linepithema humile (Argentine ant) is the source of this 402-nucleotide non-coding RNA. NCBI's taxonomy places the organism in Eukaryota, Metazoa, Arthropoda, Insecta, Hymenoptera, Formicidae. The record is from RefSeq and is a predicted model, not a curated record.
ACAAAAAAUCGAAAAUAAAAUACAAUAUAAUACUAAUCGUAAUGCUGCUAUUCCACCAGUCAUUCAAUUAUUGGUUACACUCAGAUUUUAUGCAACUGGAUGCUUUUUAAUAACAGCUGCUGAUUUUUGUGGAAUUAGUGAAACAAGCGCUCACAAAAUUAUUCAUAGAGUAUCUCCUGAGAUUGCUGCAUUACGAAACGAUUUUAUAAAAUUACCUCUUUUAUCUGAGGAAAUUCGAGAAAAUGAACAAAAAUUUUUCAAAGUAGCCAAAUUUAUUCGUGUUAUUGGUUGUAUGGAUUGCACACAUAUUAAAGUGGAAUCAUUUGGAGGAGAAAAUUGCGAAUUAUAUCGCAAUAGAAAAGGCUUUUUUUCUAUAAAUGUGCAAGUCAUAAUAAAUAGCCA